CCUACGGGAGGCAGCAGUGAGGAAUAUUGGUCAAUGGUCGGGAGACUGAACCAGCCAAGCCGCGUGAGGGAGGAAGGUACAGAGUAUCGUAAACUUCUUUUGUCAGGGAAUAAAGACUGGGAUGCGUACCCGGAUGUGUGUACCUGAUGAAAAAGCAUCGGCUAACUCCGUGCCAGCAGCCGCGGUAAUACGGAGGAUGCGAGCGUUAUCCGGAUUUAUUGGGUUUAAAGGGUGCGGAGGUGGUUUGUUAAGUCAGUGGUCAAAGUUUGGGGCUCAACCGUAGAAUUGCAGUUGAAACUGGCAGUCUUGAGUAGAAGAGAGGUGGGCGGAAUGCGGGGUGUAGCGGUGAAAUGCAUAGAUAUCGCGCAGAACUCCGAUUGCGAAGGCAGCUCACCGG
Molecule: ribosomal RNA, 397 nt
Filed under: uncultured bacterium
Lineage: Bacteria
Description: partial 16S ribosomal RNA
Rfam family: Bacterial small subunit ribosomal RNA
Source: RNAcentral